Microplitis demolitor is the source of this 750-nucleotide long non-coding RNA. RefSeq lists it as uncharacterized. The record is from RefSeq and is a predicted model, not a curated record. The transcript is spliced from 3 exons. NCBI's taxonomy places the organism in Eukaryota, Metazoa, Arthropoda, Insecta, Hymenoptera, Braconidae.
CUACUUCAUUUACAAAUAAUAAAAUAAAACAUUUUUUAUAAAAUAGUUUAUAUUCUCUGGAUUAAUUACAGUACUUUUAUCUUACACUGCAAAAAAUCGGGGGAAAUAAAACCAGGAAAAUGUCGAAAAUAAUUUUAUUAUUAUCAAUUUUCGUAUUGGUUGUUAUCUAUCCUGGUGUAUAUGCAUCAUGUCCUGGCGGUUGGUGCCAUCCAUCACAAGGUUAUGGCUGUUGUGAAGGAAAUGUUUGCUCUGAUUAUUUGUUUCAAGGUACAUGCGUGAAUGAGUUCGAAUGGGCUCAGAUGCACCCUCCUGUAGGAAAAUGAUUAUAACAAUCCAGUGAAGAUUUAUGAAUGUACACGGAAAAAAAAAUCUGAGCCUCGAUUGGCCUUGGUCAGGAAUCAAAAUCAAGAUUUAAAUAAGUUUUGACUCAUGUAAUAAACAAUAAACUAAGAAAUAUCCCGCAAAAAUAUUAAAAACUACGUUUCUUCGAUUGUUUUGUUGAUAAUAUGAUUUAAACUAUAAAACAAGUUUGACGACAUUAUAUGAUUCCGAGAAACCAUAAAAAAGAUGAGUUGGUAUGAUUUCAAACACAUUUUAGUACGUUAUAUUAUGAUUUAUCCGGAAAAAAUACCAUAAAAUGUUGUUGUGUAACUUUUCAACCCUGAUAUCGUUUGUUUUUUACCAUUUCUUUCUCUAACAAUAUGUUUUUCUCUGUGUAUUGUAUCAUUCAAUAAAAAUCUAUCACUUACA